Molecule: ribosomal RNA, 503 nt
Filed under: uncultured bacterium
Lineage: Bacteria
Description: bacterial SSU rRNA
Rfam family: Bacterial small subunit ribosomal RNA
Source: RNAcentral
GGACGAACGCUGGCGGCGUGCCUAACACAUGCAAGUCGAGCGGGGACAUGCGACGGACAUGAAGUUUCGGAUGGAGUGAAAGAUGUAUGUUCUAGCGGCGGACGGGUGAGUAACGCGUGAGCAACCUGUCCCUUACAGGGGAUAACACAGCGAAAGUUGUACUAAUACCGCAUGAGACCACGAUGAGACAUCUCAUAGGGGUCAAAGGAGCAAUCCGGUAAGGGGUGGGCUCGCGUCCGAUUAGAUAGUUGGUGAGGUAACGGCCCACCAAGUCGACGAUCGGUAGCCGACCUGAGAGGGUGAUCGGCCACAUUGGGACUGAGACACAGCCCAAACUCCUACGGGAGGCAGCAGUGGGGAAUAUUGGGCCAAUGGGGGGAACCCUGACCCAGCAACGCCGCGUGAGGGAAGAAGGUUUUCGGAUCGUAAACCUCUGUCCUUGGUGAAGAGGAAGAGACGGUAGCCAAGGAGGAAGCCCCGGCUAACUACGUGCCAGCCGCCGC